Molecule: ribosomal RNA, 846 nt
Filed under: Pseudomonas anguilliseptica
Lineage: Bacteria; Pseudomonadati; Pseudomonadota; Gammaproteobacteria; Pseudomonadales; Pseudomonadaceae
Description: bacterial SSU rRNA
Rfam family: Bacterial small subunit ribosomal RNA
Source: RNAcentral
GGAGGGCGCUACCUGCAGUCGAGCGGUAGAGAGAACUUGCUUCUCUUGAGAGCGGCGGACGGGUGAGUAAUGCCUAGGAAUCUGCCUAGUGGUGGGGGAUAACGUUCGGAAACGGACGCUAAUACCGCAUACGUCCUACGGGAGAAAGCGGGGGAUCUUCGGACCUCGCGCCAUUAGAUGAGCCUAGGUCGGAUUAGCUAGUUGGUGAGGUAAUGGCUCACCAAGGCGACGAUCCGUAACUGGUCUGAGAGGAUGAUCAGUCACACUGGAACUGAGACACGGUCCAGACUCCUACGGGAGGCAGCAGUGGGGAAUAUUGGACAAUGGGCGAAAGCCUGAUCCAGCCAUGCCGCGUGUGUGAAGAAGGUCUUCGGAUUGUAAAGCACUUUAAGUUGGGAGGAAGGGUAGUAACCUAAUACGUUGCUACUUUGACGUUACCGACAGAAUAAGCACCGGCUAACUUCGUGCCAGCAGCCGCGGUAAUACGAAGGGUGCAAGCGUUAAUCGGAAUUACUGGGCGUAAAGCGCGCGUAGGUGGUUCAGUAAGUUGGAAGUGAAAUCCCCGGGCUCAACCUGGGAACUGCUUUCAAAACUGCUGAGCUAGAGUACGGUAGAGGGUGGUGGAAUUUCCUGUGUAGCGGUGAAAUGCGUAGAUAUAGGAAGGAACACCAGUGGCGAAGGCGACCACCUGGACUGAUACUGACACUGAGGUGCGAAAGCGUGGGGAGCAAACAGGAUUAGAUACCCUGGUAGUCCACGCCGUAAACGAUGUCAACUAGCCGUUGGGAUCCUUGAGAAUUUAGUGGCGCAGCUAACGCAUUAAGUUGACCGCCUGGGGAGUACGGC